GGAGUCUAGCAUGUGCGCGAGUCAUUGGGACUUAAUAAACCUAAAGGCGAAAUGAAAGUAAAAGCACGUCUUGCACGUGGUUAGGGAGGAUGGGUUGCACUGCGGUGCGACUCCGCACUCCCGGGGCGUCUCGUUCUCAUUGCGAGUUGAGGCGCACCAAGAGCGUACAUGCUGGGACCCGAAAGAUGGUGAACUAUGCCUGGUCAGGACGAAGUCAGGGGAAACCCUGAUGGAGGUCCGUAGCGAUUCUGACGUGCAAAUCGAUCGUCGGAACUGGGUAUAGGGGCGAAAGACUAAUCGAACCAUCUAGUAGCUGGUUCCCUCCGAAGUUUCCCUCAGGAUAGCUGGCGCUCGUAUGUACGAGUCUCAUCCGGUAAAGCGAAUGAUUAGAGGCAUUGGGGUCGAAACGGCCUCAACCUAUUCUCAAACUUUAAAUGGGUGAGAUCUCCGGCUUGCUUAAAGCAUGAAGCCGCGAGAUCGGAUCAGAGUGCCAAGUGGGCCACUUUUGGUAAGCAGAACUGGCGCUGUGGGAUGAACCAAACGCCGAGUUAAAGCGCCAAAAUCGACGCUUAUGGGAUACCAUGAAAGGCGUUGGUAACUUAAGACAGCAGGACGGUGGCCAUGGAAGUC
Molecule: ribosomal RNA, 630 nt
Filed under: Carpelimus bilineatus
Lineage: Eukaryota; Metazoa; Arthropoda; Insecta; Coleoptera; Staphylinidae
Description: eukaryotic LSU rRNA
Rfam family: Eukaryotic large subunit ribosomal RNA
Source: RNAcentral